ACUCCUACGGGAGGCAGCAGUGGGGAAUUUUGGACAAUGGGCGAAAGCCUGAUCCAGCAAUGCCGCGUGAGUGAAGAAGGCCUUCGGGUUGUAAAGCUCUUUUGUCAGGGAAGAAACGGUGAAAGCUAAUAUCUUUUGCUAAUGACGGUACCUGAAGAAUAAGCACCGGCUAACUACGUGCCAGCAGCCGCGGUAAUACGUAGGGUGCAAGCGUUAAUCGGAAUUACUGGGCGUAAAGCGUGCGCAGGCGGUUUUGUAAGUCUGAUGUGAAAUCCCCGGGCUCAACCUGGGAAUUGCAUUGGAGACUGCAAGGCUAGAAUCUGGCAGAGGGGGGUAGAAUUCCACGUGUAGCAGUGAAAUGCGUAGAUAUGUGGAGGAACACCGAUGGCGAAGGCAGCCCCCUGGGUCAAGAUUGACGCUCAUGCACGAAAGCGUGGGGAGCAAACAGGAUUAGAUACCCGGGUAGUCCCAUG
This 473-nucleotide ribosomal RNA is filed under the name uncultured organism. RNAcentral describes it as "partial 16S ribosomal RNA". It matches the Rfam family "Bacterial small subunit ribosomal RNA", at positions 335 to 799 of the family's 1533-position model. The record is from RNAcentral.